RNAcentral lists this unclassified non-coding RNA (771 nucleotides) under Hevea brasiliensis (rubber tree). The record is from RNAcentral. Lineage: Eukaryota; Viridiplantae; Streptophyta; Magnoliopsida; Malpighiales; Euphorbiaceae.
AAGGAAUACAAAUUUCAACUGCCUGCACAAAUGGAUUUCAAGCAAAUGGCAGACAACUUUAACAUGGCAGCCAGAAUUCAACAGCCAGCAAUACAUACUCCAUGUAUGACUGCUUUAAGCCUUAUCCAAAGGAAACAGGAGACAAGCUCUCCUGGUGUUCAUUUGAGGGUUAGAGCAGCCAAAUUCAUGAUUUUACCUUGCAUUUACACUUAUUUAUGGAAGGUGGGCAGGUUCUGCAGUUUAUUUUGCAGUACUUUUGUCUGUAUACUAUUGAUGAAUUAUAAAUAUACGAGUGAAUAUUUUAUUGUGAUAUUGUAGCUACUCUGGACUCAAAAAUUGGCAACUAAAUUCUCACAAAUAAACAAACAAAUUAACUAAUAAAUAGGUACUACUGCAACUAAUUUCUCACCCAUCCUUGUUUUCCUUUCCGUAUACAAUUUUUCCCCUUUCUCUCUCGAGCAUUAGAAUAUCAUUUCAUCAUUACAGUCUAGAUGAUUUCCAUUACUCAUGUCAAUAAAAGACUGGUUCCAACAAACUAAAAUGGUAAUACGCGAAAACAAUUAGAAACCCCUGCUUCCUGCUACUAGUGGGGAGCUGUUGGGUUAUUAUGAAAAUUUGAUUUAGAUCCUCUUUCUUCAUUUCUUUUCCCCUUUCUUGUGGGAUGAAGUAAAGAGCAGUUGGGUCACAAAGGGAGCUGAUUCAAAUCCUCAAUCCACAACAUCAAUAAAUUACAUGAUUUAUUGAGCAUAGAUCAUCAUCAUUAUUAACUUA